UUACGGCCAUAUAGUGUUGAAACACCAGUUCCUAUAUGAACACCGAUGUUAAGCAAUGUUAAGUCUGGUCAGUACCUAGAUGGUUGAUCCCUUGGAAAUCACAGGUGGUGUAAG
This is a non-coding RNA of Acanthosepion pharaonis, 114 nucleotides long. NCBI's taxonomy places the organism in Eukaryota, Metazoa, Mollusca, Cephalopoda, Sepiida, Sepiidae. The record is from the annotation of a GenBank genome assembly.